GAGUUUGAUUCUGGCUCAGAACGAACGCUGGCGGCGCGUCUUAAGCAUGCAAGUCGAACGGUAAGGGAGAGCUUGCUCUCCCCUAGAGUGGCGGACUGGUGAGUAACGCGUGGGUGACCUGCCCUGAAGAUGGGGAUAGCUAGUAGAAAUAUUAGAUAAUACCGAAUGUGCUCAUUUACAUAAAGGUGAAUGAGGAAAGGAGCUACGGCUCCGCUUCAGGAUGGGCCCGCGUCCCAUUAGCUAGUUGGUGAGGUAAAGGCUCACCAAGGCAACGGUGGGUAUCCGGCCUGAGAGGGUGAACGGACACAUCGGGACUGAGAUACGGCCCAAACUCCUACGGGUGGCAGCAGCUAAGAAUCUUCCGCAAUGGACGAAAGUCUGACGGAGCGACGCCGUGUGAAUGAAGAAGGCCGAAAGGUUGUAAAAUUCUUUUGCAGAUGAAGAAUAAACACAGGAGGGAAUGCCUGUGA
This 470-nucleotide ribosomal RNA is filed under the name Treponema denticola. Its description in RNAcentral is "bacterial SSU rRNA". It matches the Rfam family "Bacterial small subunit ribosomal RNA", at positions 9 to 472 of the family's 1533-position model. Lineage: Bacteria; Pseudomonadati; Spirochaetota; Spirochaetia; Treponematales; Treponemataceae. The record is from RNAcentral.